GAAUCCGUCUUGGAACACCAAAUUUAGGAGAUUCCUAUGAAGCCUUAUGGUAGAAACGGUAAAGUUGAAAUUGCAAGU
RNAcentral lists this transfer RNA (78 nucleotides) under Citrobacter phage Mijalis. RNAcentral's name for it is "tRNA-Leu". Lineage: Duplodnaviria; Heunggongvirae; Uroviricota; Caudoviricetes; Andersonviridae. The record is from RNAcentral.